RNAcentral lists this ribosomal RNA (496 nucleotides) under uncultured bacterium. RNAcentral's name for it is "partial 16S ribosomal RNA". It matches the Rfam family "Bacterial small subunit ribosomal RNA", at positions 28 to 506 of the family's 1533-position model. The record is from RNAcentral.
GAUGAACGCUGGCGGCGUGCCUAAUACAUGCAAGUCGAGCGAACGGACGAGAAGCUUGCUUCUCUGAUGUUAGCGGCGGACGGGUGAGUAACACGUGGAUAACCUACCUAUAAGACUGGGAUAACUUCGGGAAACCGUAGCUAAUACCGGAUAAUAUUUUGAACCGCAUGGUUCAAAAGUGAAAGACGGUCUUGCUGUCACUUAUAGAUGGAUCCGCGCUGCAUUAGCUAGUUGGUAAGGUAACGGCUUACCAAGGCAACGAUGCAUAGCCGACCUGAGAGGGUGAACGGCCACACUGGAACUGAGACACGGUCCAGACUCCUACGGGAGGCAGCAGUAGGGAAUCUUCCGCAAUGGGCGAAAGCCUGACGGAGCAACGCCGCGUGAGUGAUGAAGGUCUUCGGAUCGUAAAACUCUGUUAUUAGGGAAGAACAUAUGUGUAAGUAACUGUGCACAUCUUGACGGUACCUAAUCAGAAAGCCACGGCUAACUACGU